GACGAACGCUGGCGGCGUGCCUAAUACAUGCAAGUAGAACGCACAGUUUAUACCGUAGCUUGCUACACCAUAGACUGUGAGUUGCGAACGGGUGAAUAACGCGUAGGUAACCUGCCUGGUAGCGGGGGAUAACUAUUGGAAACGAUAGCUAAUACCGCAUAAUAUUGAUUAUUGCAUGAUAAUUGAUUGAAAGAUGCUAUUGCAUCACUACCAGAUGGACCUGCGUUGUAUUAGCUAGUAGGUGAGGUAACGGCUCACCUAGGCGACGAUACAUAGCCGACCUGAGAGGGUGAUCGGCCACAGUGGGACUGAGACACGGCCCAGACUCCUACGGGAGGCAGCAGUAGGGAAUCGUCGGCAAUGGGCGAAAGUCUGACCGAGCAACGCCGCGUGAGUGAAGAAGGUUUUCGGAUCGUAAAGCUCUGUUGUAAGAGAAGAACGGGUGUGAGAGUGGAAAGUUCACACUGUGGCGGUAUCUUACCAGAAAGGGGCGGCUAACUAC
This 502-nucleotide ribosomal RNA is filed under the name uncultured bacterium. RNAcentral's name for it is "partial 16S ribosomal RNA". It matches the Rfam family "Bacterial small subunit ribosomal RNA", at positions 28 to 504 of the family's 1533-position model. The record is from RNAcentral.